CUACGGGUGGCUGCAGUGAGGAAUAUUGGGCAAUGGAGGCAACUCUGACCCAGCCAUGCCGCGUGCAGGAAGACGGCCCUCUGGGUUGUAAACUGCUUUUGUUUGGGAAUAAACCCUUCUACGUGUAGGAGGCUGAAGGUACCAUUCGAAUAAGGAUCGGCUAACUCCGUGCCAGCAGCCGCGGUAAUAUGGAGGAUCCAAGCGUUAUCCGGAUUUAUUGGGUUUAAAGGGUCCGUAGGCGGGUCUUUAAGUCAGUGGUGAAAGCCCACAGAUCAACUGUGGAACUGCCAUUGAUACUGGAGAUCUUGAGUGUAGUAGAAGUAGGCGGAAUAGGGCAUGUAGCGGUGAAAUGCAUAGAUAUGCCCUAGAACACCGAUUGCGAAGGCAGCUUACUAUGUUACAACUGACGCUGAGGGACGAAAGCGUGGGGAGCAAACAGGAUUAGAUACCCUUGUAGUC
Molecule: ribosomal RNA, 459 nt
Filed under: uncultured bacterium
Lineage: Bacteria
Description: partial 16S ribosomal RNA
Rfam family: Bacterial small subunit ribosomal RNA
Source: RNAcentral